GACGAACGCUGGCGGCGUGCUUAACACAUGCAAGUCGAACGGAAAGGCCCUGCUUUUGUGGGGUGCUCGAGUGGCGAACGGGUGUGUAACACGUGAGUAACCUGCCCUUGACUUUGGGAUAACUUCAGGAAACUGGGGCUAAUACCGGAUAGGAGCUCCUGCUGCAUGGUGGGGGUUGGAAAGUUUCGGCGGUUGGGUAUGGACUCGCGGCUUAUCAGCUUGUUGGUGGGGUAGUGGCUUACCAAGGCUUUGACGGGUAGCCGGCCUGAGAGGGUGACCGGCCACAUUGGGACUGAGAUACGGCCCAGACUGCUACUGGAGGCAGCAGUGGGGAAGAGGUCACAAUGGGCGGAAGCCUGAUGCAGCAACGCGGCGUGCGGGAUGAUGGCCUUCGGGUUGUAAACCGCUGUCGCCUGUGACGAAGCGUGAGUGACGGGAAUGGGUAAAAAAGCACCGGCUAAGUACGUG
Molecule: ribosomal RNA, 468 nt
Filed under: uncultured bacterium
Lineage: Bacteria
Description: partial 16S ribosomal RNA
Rfam family: Bacterial small subunit ribosomal RNA
Source: RNAcentral